UACGGAGGGUGCAAGCGUUAUCCGGAUUUACUGGGUUUAAAGGGUGCGCAGGCGGUAAUUUAAGUCAGUGGUGAAAGCCUACAGCUCAACUGUAGAACUGCCAUUGAAACUGAAUUACUUGAGUGUGGAAGAGGUAGGCGGAAUACAACAUGUAGCGGUGAAAUGCAUAGAUAUGUUGUAGAACACCGAUUGCGAAGGCAGCUUACUAAACCAUUACUGACGCUCAGGCACGAAAGCGUGGGGAGCGAAC
Molecule: ribosomal RNA, 250 nt
Filed under: uncultured bacterium
Lineage: Bacteria
Description: partial 16S ribosomal RNA
Rfam family: Bacterial small subunit ribosomal RNA
Source: RNAcentral